This 300-nucleotide long non-coding RNA is filed under the name Musa acuminata (dwarf banana). Its description in RNAcentral is "long non-coding RNA (MACU_LNC009552)". The record is from RNAcentral. Lineage: Eukaryota; Viridiplantae; Streptophyta; Magnoliopsida; Zingiberales; Musaceae.
AAUCAAAACGUAAACGCAAACUGAAAUAUGAUGAUCGUACGAAAAACAGAUUUACGUCUAAACGCUGAUUCGGAAAGUGCAAAGCUUGAAACCCGAUCGUAUAUGCGUAGAAAGCAGUAAGCUUUAGAGGAGGUUUGCAGUAAAGAUAAAAUGCUUAAAGUAAAUGCAAACCGAGAUUUAGAGUGGUUCGGUCAAUCUUGACCUACUCCACUUUUGGCUUCCUCCACCGACGAGGGCACCGACAUCAACUAGAGGCCUUCCUUCAAUAGGCAAAGGCCAACCACCCUUUUACAGUUUCAC